GUCCUAAGCUGAGGCCGACAGGCGUAGGCGAUGGAUAACAGGUUGAUAUUCCUGUACCACCUAUAAUCGUUUUAAUCGAUGGGGGGACGCAGUAGAAUAGGCGAAGCGUGCGAUUGGAUUGCACGUCUAAGCAGUAAGGCUGAGUAUUAGGCAAAUCCGGUACUCGUUAAGGCUGAGCUGUGAUGGGGAGAAGACAUUGUGUCUUCGAGUCGUUGAUUUCACACUGCCGAGAAAAACCUCUAGAUAGAAAAUAGGUGCCCGUACCGCAAACCGACACAGGUAGUCAAGAUGAGAAUUCUAAGGUGAGCGAGCGAACUCUCGUUAAGGAACUCGGCAAAAUGACCCCGUAACUUCGGGAGAAGGGGUGCUCUUUAGGGUUAACGCCCAGAAGAGCCGCAGUGAAUAGGCCCAAGCGACUGUUUAUCAAAAACACAGGUCUCUGCUAAACCGUAAGGUGAUGUAUAGGGGCUGACGCCUGCCCGGUGCUGGAAGGUUAAGAGGAGUGGUUAGCUUCUGCGAAGCUACGAAUCGAAGCCCCAGUAAACGGCGGCCGUAACUAUAACGGUCCUAAGGUAGCGAAAUUCCUUGUCGGGUAAGUUCCGACCCGCACGAAAGGCGUAACGAUUUGGGCACUGUCUCAACGAGAGACUCGGUGAAAUCAUAGUACCUGUGAAGAUGCAGGUUACCCGCGACAGGACGGAAAGACCCCGUGGAGCUUUACUGUAGCCUGAUAUUGAAAUUCGGCACAGCUUGUACAGGAUAGGUAGGAGCCUUUGAAACGUGAGCGCUAGCUUACGUGGAGGCGCUGGUGGGAUACUACCCUAGCUGUGUUGGCUUUCUAACCCGCACCACUUAUCGUGGUGGGAGACAGUGUCAGGCGGGCAGUUUGACUGGGGCGGUCGCCUCCUAAAAGGUAACGGAGGCGCUCAAAGGUUCCCUCAGAAUGGUUGGAAAUCAUUCAUAGAGUGUAAAGGCAUAAGGGAGCUUGACUGCGAGACCUACAAGUCGAGCAGGGUCGAAAGACGGACUUAGUGAUCCGGUGGUUCCGCAUGGAAGGGCCAUCGCUCAACGGAUAAAAGCUACCCCGGGGAUAACAGGCUUAUCUCCCCCAAGAGUUCACAUCGACGGGGAGGUUUGGCACCUCGAUGUCGGCUCAUCGCAUCCUGGGGCUGUAGUCGGUCCCAAGGGUUGGGCUGUUCGCCCAUUAAAGCGGUACGCGAGCUGGGUUCAGAACGUCGUGAGACAGUUCGGUCCCUAUCCGUCGUGGGCGUAGGAAAUUUGAGAGGAGCUGUCCUUAGUACGAGAGGACCGGGAUGGACAUACCUCUGGUGUACCAGUUGUCGUGCCAACGGCAUAGCUGGGUAGCUAUGUGUGGACGGGAUAAGUGCUGAAAGCAUCUAAGCAUGAAGCCCCCCUCAAGAUGAGAUUUCCCAACUUCGGUUAUAAGAUCCCUCAAAGAUGAUGAGGUUAAUAGGUUCGAGGUGGAAGCAUGGUGACAUGUGGAGCUGACGAAUACUAAUCGAUCGAAGACUUAAUCAA
This 1539-nucleotide ribosomal RNA is filed under the name Staphylococcus aureus F27252. RNAcentral describes it as "bacterial LSU rRNA". It matches the Rfam family "Bacterial large subunit ribosomal RNA", at positions 1388 to 2925 of the family's 2925-position model. The record is from RNAcentral. Lineage: Bacteria; Bacillati; Bacillota; Bacilli; Caryophanales; Staphylococcaceae.